UAGGGAAUAUUGCGCAAUGGGCGAAAGCCUGACGCAGCGACGCCGCGUGGGGGAUGAAGGCCUUCGGGUUGUAAACCCCUUUCAUGUGGGACGAAAUCUGACUUUACCACAGGAAGAAGCACCGGCUAACUCCGUGCCAGCAGCUGCGGUAAGACGGAGAGUGCGAACGUUGUUCGGAUUUACUGGGCGUAGAGGGCACGUAGGCGGCCAGGCAAAUCAGUUGUGGAAUCCCGACGCCUACCGUCGGAACGGCAAUUGAAAAUACCUGGCUCGAGGGCAUGAGGGGUCGCGGGAACUCCUGGUGGAGCGGUGAAAUGCGUAGAUAUCAGGAGGAACGCCGGAGGCGAAAGCGCGCGACUGGCAUGUCCCUGACGCUGAGGUGCGAAAGCCGGGGGAGCAAACAGG
Molecule: ribosomal RNA, 405 nt
Filed under: uncultured bacterium
Lineage: Bacteria
Description: bacterial SSU rRNA
Rfam family: Bacterial small subunit ribosomal RNA
Source: RNAcentral